GCUGGGGGGCGCUCUCCCCGAGAGCUCCUAGAGCCCCGGGUCUCUGGGUGCCUGUAGUCAGGCGUGAUGACCUUUGACUUUUCCCAGGAUUGGGACUGCGCCCGCCUAAAUUCGGCCAGGUGGCUGGAGUCCUGGAGGCGGUGGGUGUGAUACUACCCGCACCUCCCGCCCAGCCGCGGGCCCUGAGGGUUAAUAUGAAACAUAGAAGCUGCCUCUACUCCUCCAAGACUGUGAAUUUGAAGUGUGGAAGCUGCAGACAACCUCAGUGAUUCAGGAAGAGGAACUGUUUUUAUGAGAAGGGGGGUGAAAAAGUGAAGAAGUUCUAUGAAAAACUUGACAAGAGCCUCCAAACCAAGGCAAACUGACAUUUGAUAUCCAUAACUAAUGUAAAGAAAGGUAUAUACAAGAGAAGACAGUGAAAAAGAUAUUGUAAAAUAUGAUUUGGACCAAAUAGAAUGUUUUUAGAGGAAAAAACUUUGAAACUCUUUUUUUC
Long non-coding RNA from Phascolarctos cinereus (koala), 493 nucleotides. RefSeq lists it as uncharacterized. Lineage: Eukaryota; Metazoa; Chordata; Mammalia; Diprotodontia; Phascolarctidae. The record is from RefSeq and is a predicted model, not a curated record.